Molecule: ribosomal RNA, 408 nt
Filed under: uncultured bacterium
Lineage: Bacteria
Description: bacterial SSU rRNA
Rfam family: Bacterial small subunit ribosomal RNA
Source: RNAcentral
AUUGAACGCUGGCGGCAUGCCUUACACAUGCAAGUCGAACGGCAGCACGGGAGCAAUCCUGGUGGCGAGUGGCGAACGGGUGAGUAAUAUAUCGGAACGUGCCCGGUCGUGGGGGAUAACGUAGCGAAAGCUACGCUAAUACCGCAUACGAUCUACGGAUGAAAGCGGGGGAUCGCAAGACCUCGCGCGAUUGGAGCGGCCGAUAUCAGAUUAGGUAGUUGGUGAGGUAAAGGCUCACCAAGCCGACGAUCUGUAGCUGGUCUGAGAGGACGACCAGCCACACUGGGACUGAGACACGGCCCAGACUCCUACGGGAGGCAGCAGUGGGGAAUUUUGGACAAUGGGCGCAAGCCUGAUCCAGCAAUGACCGCGUGCAGGAUGAAGGCCUUCGGGUUCGGUUAAACGUUA